GGCACAAAACCUCACACAUUAGCUUUGGUAUUCUAAUUUUGGGGGUUUUAAGAGAGAGAGAGAAAAAAAUCAAAUCGACUUUGAAACUCUGGAGGAAUUAUUUGAAAUGACUUGAUUGGGCUAAGCAAGAAGAGGAACUCGUACUACUGAAACGACUUCUGAAGUUCUGCAGUAGGGUAAGGAAACAAUCUGCUUCCGUCCACCUUGAGAUGUCUUGCAACAUUUACGAAGACCCAGAUCAGACCAUGAAAGUGAGGUACAGCAAAGAAGUGAGAGGAAAAGGAUGGAGGAAAGUGGAGAAAGAGGAGAAGGUGGAAAAAGAGGCGAAAGUGGAAAAAGUGGUCGACAUCUACGAGAGUGCCGAGACGGUGGCCUGCCAUCGAGCUAAUCCUUCCAGGAAGGCCCAAGGAGUUCGGACUCAAAAACAUCCACCAACCCCCCGGAGAAACUGGUACAAGGUUGCUACAGUAACUUUGGGUUUACUCUGCCUCCUGUUGUUGGCGGGGAUAAGUGUGCUACUCUCUCUAUUAGGUUUGAAACAUAAAGAACAUUCCUUGGGUCAGAAGCAGGCACAAGAAAAUCAGAACCAAAGUAUAAAAGAAUGGCAGGAGCUUCGUGAGUCACAUUUCUACUAUGCAUCCACUGAGAAGAAAAACUGGACAGAAAGCAGGAAAGACUGCAAGAGCAGAGGAGGAGAUCUGGUGAUUUUAAAUAACAUAGAGAAACAGGAGAUAAUUAGAAGAAUGAAGAUUCAUGGAGAUUCCUGGAUCGGUCUUAAAACUUCAAACGAGUGGACUGCGAAAUGGAAAUGGGUAGAUGGAUCUGACCUAUUAUCUAGUUCCUGGAAGGAAGGAGUAAACGUCAAAACGGAGUCAGGCCUCAAAGCAUUUACUGAUCAACAGGGACUUUGGAUGUACAACAAAACAGGAUUAAAAUACUGGAUCUGUGAGAAGAGAAAUGUCCAGUAUCUUUUUGAUCUUAAACCUGGAAAGAACAUCACUAAAUAUUAAGUACUAUAUACAAAUAAUAGUUAUAAUUCUAAUUAAGAAAAGCUAUCCAAAACAAGAUAAAAACAGACCUGAUGAAGAAUAUAAAACACUUAAAUACAAAUCCCAGUCUGCACUGGAACAGCUAGCUUCAAGCUUUGGAAACUCAUUUCUCUGCUGCACUGACGCUACACGCAUCAACCCAUUAUAUGUCACUAUAGCAUUGUCACAUGGUGAAAUCUGGAGUCAGAGCAAAGCAGAGACUAUUUAUACAGUAUUUUGUACUGCUCAAAUAUGCAAAGAUUAUUUAACUUUAGCUUUAAGUAAAAGUUUUAUUUGUGGUGGCUUAAUCUGCAUUUUGAAAAGAUGUUAGUUAUUAUUAGUGCUUUAAAAAAAUAAACAGAAUAUGAGCAUUAUUUUGUGUUUUAUUUAAAUAUUAAUAAUGAAAAAUAAAUAAAUCAGACAUUAUUCUCAAACAAGAAAUACUCAUCUUUAUGCUUUUUACUCCAAGAACUGCUUUUUAUUUAUACUUAAGUUAUAUUUUGAUGUAAUGCCAAUUUUACUUAGAUACAGUUUUGUCUACACUACAUAAGCCUUAUAUUACUUGUGUAAUGUUUCAAGUUUAGUUAAAUAUUUUUUUUAAUUUGUUUUGAGCAGCAGUAAUCAGUAGUGCUGUUCCAGAAACAGAACUGCUGCUAUCUUAUAUUAAUCAUAUUUGUUUCUUUCGUGUUGGAACAAACAUAAUUAAGAUAAAGGAAUAAAAACAUGGUAAUACAUUCAACCUUUUUUGGCCAUUUGCUAAUAAAUUACUGGUGUUCACAUUAUAUUCAUUGUGACUCUAAAUCAAAUCAAUUGAACUUUGAGCAAUUGUAAAUAAUGACGGGUCAAGAAAACAAAUGGAAAUUCCACGGAAAAACAAUUACUUUUAUUUAAUUUACCAGAAAAACCACUUACCACAACAUAAGUCAGAAAAUUGCUGCUAGCUCAUGUAUCAAAAUUUAUUUGAACAUUUACAUUUGAGUAGCUUUUUUAUGUGAAGAACACUUUCUUAGGUACAAACAGGAACAGAAAGAUAAACACAUAUAUAUGGAAUUUUUUUCUAUCUAAAGAUUAAAUGUUUGGUAUUUGUGUGCUUAUCUUCCUGCCAGAACAUCCUGUGCACUUCCUACUGAAAUCUGAUUGGUUUCAAAAAGAGAACAAAAAUUUGUCUGCUUGGCAUGAGAACCUAAAUGCUGCUUUCAGUUGCUUCUUUCUUGAGAAAUCUUCCAACAUGUAUGAGAACAUAGAUUUUACAACUACAAGAGGCAGUGAAUUAUCUCAGGACAGUGGGGAGGAAACAGUUCAGACUCCAGAUUCCUCUACACACCUUGAUGUUGGUCUUUCACUACAAAAUGAAGGGAAGUAUAAAACAACAAAGACUAUGUCAUAAAACAGGUAAAUUUUAACAAAAUCGCAUGGAUAAAGUAUUCUGAUUUUCACUGUGAUAAGAGCAGUUUGCUAUAUAAAUGAAAAAUAUCUAUUUUUUAAAGAAUAUAAACAAUGCAAUCAAAUAUAUAAUGACCCUUCUCUCUGCCUUUGGGGUCUUUGUGUUUUUCUUUCCUGUUUUUAUUUAUCACUGUUUUGCAGAACAGAAGGAAAUAUUUCCUUCUAUUAAUGAAAUAUUAACAACACUAAGCUGAUGCAUAUCCAUUUGUAUGUAUCCAAGAUACAUACAAAAUUAUGUAUGUAUCAUAAUUUUGUAUGUAUUAUGAUAAUAUUCUAAUUUUAAAUAUCAUGUUUUGUUAACAGUAAAUGGGAAAUCCUAAUUAUCGGAAAUAAAGGCUUUCAAAAAUGUAUUUAUUUUGUCAUUUAAAGGAGCAGAGACUGAAAAACCUCCCCUGGUUGUCCAAGGAAAACCCUACAGAAUUGUUUUACUAAUGUUUGGUCUGUUGAUCAUCCUGGGUGUUGUGGAUAUCGGCGUUCGAGUCAAAAUCUCUAGGAAAUCUGAUUAUGAUCAAAUUUUCCUUAAAUCGCCAUAACCUUUAAGGAAAAUUUUAAUUUUGACCCAAUAGUUUCUUUCUCCAUUUUUGCUGGUUUCUUUAGAUCAUUCAGUUGUUGAGAAACCACUGCAAGCCUGUUUUGAGAAUCACACAAAGGAACAAACAGAACUGCAUGAGUUUCAAUGUCAGGACCAAAACUGCACAGAAUGGCAGGAGCUUCGUGAGUCACAUUUCUACUACGCAUCCACUGAAAAGAAAAACUGGACAGAGAGCAGGAAAGACUGCAAGAGCAGAGGAGGAGAUAUGGCGAUUCUAAAUAACAUAGAGAAACAGCAGAUGAUUAGAAGAAUGAAGAUUCAUGGAGAUUCCUGGAUCGGUCUUGAAACUGCAAACAAGUGGACUGCGAAAUGGAAAUGGGUAGAUGGAUCUGACCUACUACACAGUUCCUGGAAAGAAGGAGUAAACGUCAAAACGGAGUCAGGGCUCAAAGCAUUUACUGAUAAACAGGGACUUUGGAUGUACAAGAAAACAGGAUUAAAAUACUGGAUCUGUGAGAAGAGAAAUGUCCAGUAUCUUUUUGAUCUUAAACCUGGAAAGAACUGCAUUAAAAUUUAAGUACUAUAUACAGAGAAAAGUUACAAUUAUAAUUACUAUAUGAGAAAAACUCAGUGCAAUCAGUUCUACAGCAGCCACAAAGUAAAACCUGGAGUUAGAUUUAAGCUUUGUAAUUAAAUGUAAUUAAAAGGCUGAUUCAGGAAAAGAAAAAAAAAAUCUUGUUUCUCGAUUCUUGUUUAUUU
RNA transcript from Xiphophorus maculatus (southern platyfish), 3762 nucleotides. It is a transcript of the gene named C-type lectin domain family 2 member D-like, with no coding region annotated. The record is from RefSeq and is a predicted model, not a curated record. The transcript has 10 exons. Lineage: Eukaryota; Metazoa; Chordata; Actinopteri; Cyprinodontiformes; Poeciliidae.